Molecule: ribosomal RNA, 253 nt
Filed under: uncultured bacterium
Lineage: Bacteria
Description: partial 16S ribosomal RNA
Rfam family: Bacterial small subunit ribosomal RNA
Source: RNAcentral
UACAGAGGGUGCAAACGUUGCUCGGAUUUACUGGGCGUAAAGCGCAUGUAGGCUGGAAUCUAAGUCGGGUGUGAAAUCCCUGGGCUCAACCUAGGAACUGCAUCCGAAACUGGAUUCCUGGAGUGGUGGAGAGGAAAGCGGAAUUCCGGGUGUAGAGGUGAAAUUCGUAGAUAUCCGGAGGAACACCAGUGGCGAAGGCGGCUUUCUGGACACCAACUGACGCUGAGAUGCGAAAGCGUGGGGAGCAAACAGG